CGCGCGGGGAGCCCCACCGCGACGCCCAGUUAAGAGAGAGUUAAGGGAGGCUGCUCUUAAAGGGGCGACGCCGCCGCGUACCCGCGCGAGCUAGCGCGGCGAGGGCAGGAGCCCCGGGCGCUUCUUUAAAAGGGGAACGGCGCUGUACUGGGCGGGGUGCAGAGCGAAGGGAGAGGGAGGGGCGGACUGAGUGGAGCUGUCAACUCUGGCACCUCCCCGUCCCGCCCCAGGCUCCGGAGUGACAGGUGGCAUCGCAGCCCAGUCUUCAGACCCCAGGCCUGGUUACCAUCCAGCCCCAAAGAACUUUUGACUCCCAGAUGUCCCCUCCCCCAGGAAGUCCCGCAUCAACACUGCUGCCCUGCUGCACUACAAACAAAAGUCAGGAGGCUGCCAGAGCAGUGUGUCUGUGGGCUGCUGCAACCAAAGGCCUCUGACCCAGCCCUUCAGUCUCAGUCAGCUGGAGGCUCAGGCGUGGCUCUGCCACUACAAGGGACAGCUGGAUGCUAUUUCCAGGGAAAGCCUGCCUUUCUUCUUUCUGAGAAAUUUCAAGGACAUUGGGAGUUUGAACUGUUUAUUACCUUCCAAGGGCUGAGUGGGGGAAAAUAGCCAACUUCUUCCCCAGCCUGCUCCUUCAGCAGCCAGAGCUGGUGUAGAAGAAGGCAACCUGUCAGAUGAAACUUUCUAAGUUAAAAUCCCUGAAUCAUCUCUGGAAGUUGUCCCUUCUGCUCUCCCUUAUUCUAUGGCCUUCCUGGCAGGACCAAUCACACAACUAUUGCAAGGUGAAUUAUUCUUAUAGAUUUCAGGCAAGGCCAAUACAAAGCUUCCUUUGAUUCCUUUUCUGGAAUGCACUUCACUUCGUUUUGCUGCUCUGUAUUUCUGUUGUAAAUUAAACUACUUUUUUCUUGCUUGGUUCCCAGCAGAAUGGGAAAACAGCAUGUCACUCUUUUCUGAACUAAAGAAUAAUAUACUUGGAGCUCUUAUGCAAUUUUUCUUGCCCUAUUCUUCUCCAAACUAAACAGUGCCAGAUUCUUUAACCUGUCAUCAAUAAGCCCUAUUUAUUAUCUGGAUUUAUAUAGUGUCUUUUACCCCUGGAACUCAAAAUGCUUUCAAAUAUAAUUGAGCCUGAUCGCCCUAGUGCCUGAGCCAUUAAGAAACCAUUAGUGUAUUGCUGUUGCUGGCAACUAAAUGGCCCCCUAGUGGUCUGAAAGUGAAUAUACGUCUCUAAUUGUCUCUCCCCGCUCGGGGUAGGCAGAAAUCAGAAUCAGGGCAGUUUAGGGAUGCACUGGGUUAGAAAGGCCCUCCCUUGUGAAUACUCCCAUUGGUCUUAGUGCCUUCGCGGCAACAUCCCCAUGGAUCUUCAGAGAAAUGGCUGUUUAUGAUGGUGAAUUUUAUUGUCUGCUUCCUGGGACAGCCAUUUCAGUCUUUGGGAAGUUCUGACCAUUCAGAACAGCAGCAAGAACCAAAGUAGGCACUCUUCCAAGACCUGCAUUCUUGGUUCAUUGUCUCGCAACAAAGCAUCAGGUAGUUACUACUAAUCCUCAUUUUGUAGAAGAAGCUGCUUCAAAAAGGUUAAGGAACUUACUUGAGGUCUCAUAGAAUUCAAACCUAAAUCUGUCUGAAUCUAGGACCUUAGCUAUCCCCCAACCUCGGUACCAAACUCAGGACUUUACACUUACAAGGCAAGUGCAGCACCAGUGAGCUAAAUCCCCAGCCCUAGAACAUUAGGUUCUUGAUCGCUGCUCUGUUCUGGCUCAAAGGUGCAGCUGAACUUUGCAGUGGGUACAUGGGGCACUCCCAGGUCACCCUCAGAAUGGGACACAUUCCGCCUGCUGUUCUUGGGAAUCACCCUCAGGAACCAAAGGAAGCUGCCUUUUUCUCUGAAUCUAUAAGAGCAAUAAAUAGAAGCAAGUUGCACAAAUCCCUGCUGGAUGUAUUCAGGUCCUUCCCAGCAGGAAGAAGGAUAUUUUCCAAAGGAGCUACAGAGGUAGUCACUGUGUACUGGUAGAGCCAGGAGCAGGUGCAUAGGCAAAGGUGUAGGGGAAAGGAGAGGGGAGCUGAGUUAUGGACACCUUAUUGCAGAUACCCUGAUAAGGAUCCUGGAAGACAGAGUGAAUGGAAAUUCCACUCAGAACCACCAUUAUAGAAGGUGGAAGAAAUAUUCAAAAAGCUCAGAGAGCUAGGUCUAGUGGCAUACAGCUACAGUCUCAAGUACCAAGGCAGGAGAAGUGAAAGUUUGAACACAGCUUGGGCUACCUAGCAACUUAGUGAGAUCAUGUCAAAAUAAAAAAAAAAAUUAAAAAGGCUGGGGACGUAGGUCACUGUGAAGGUUCUGGGUUCAGUCUUCAAUACUAAUAAAAUUUUUAAAAUCUCAGAGGGUGGACGCGCUAUAGCGGGCAUUCUGUGUAGGGCCAGAAACCACUGUCAGUCCUGCAGGAAUGUCCAGGGGAUACUCUGGGAUCAAAGCAACAAGGAAUGACUGGUGGGAGGGGUACCAGCACCACAGAGUGGCUCAGUUUUGCUGUCCUUAGGAGGCCAGCAGGAGGCCCUCUUAGGACUGGCUUCCUGAGAGCACAGAGACAAGGGGUUCAUGAAAACAUAGAAGGUUAAUGUUGACAUAACUAUUGUAAUGAGCAACAAGUUGGAGUGGCGGUUGGGGAUCCUGACCAGGAGAGCUAUGGAGUGGUUAAUGUCAUCACAUCCCUGGGGCAAGCUGGCUGGGCAGCCAGUAGUGGUAUUGUUCAACUUAUACCUGUGGCUCUUGGCUUUCUUAGUUUUAGGAUCAUUUUACACUCUUAAAAAUUGAGGUUUGAGCUGGGUAUGGUGGCAUACGCCUGUAAUCCCAGCACUCGGGAGGCUGAGGCAAGAGGAUGCUGUGAGUUCGAGACCACCCUGGGCUAUGUAAUGAGUUCCAGGUCAGUCUCAGCUACAUAGUGAGACCCUGUCUCAAAAAACAAAACAACAACAACAAAAAAUUGAGGUUUGUAGAACCAGGUACAGUGGCCCAUGCCUGUAGUCCCAGCUACUUAGAGGCUGAAAUGGGAGAGUCACUUGAGCUCAUGAGUUUGAGACCAGCCUGGGACCGUAGUGGGACCCUUAUCUCAAAACAAAGCAAAAACAACCCCCCA
This is a long non-coding RNA of Fukomys damarensis (Damara mole-rat), 3125 nucleotides long. Lineage: Eukaryota; Metazoa; Chordata; Mammalia; Rodentia; Bathyergidae. The record is from Ensembl.